This 274-nucleotide ribosomal RNA is filed under the name uncultured bacterium. Its description in RNAcentral is "partial 16S ribosomal RNA". It matches the Rfam family "Bacterial small subunit ribosomal RNA", at positions 523 to 796 of the family's 1533-position model. The record is from RNAcentral.
AUACAGAGGGUGCUAGCGUUGUCCGGAUUUAUUGGGCGUAAAGCGUUUGUAGGCGGCUAAGCAAGUCUGAAGUGAAAUAAUGGAGCUUAACUCCAUCCCCGCUUUGGAAACUGUUUGGCUAGAGAGUGUUAGGGGCAAGUGGAAUUUCCAGUGUAGCGGUGAAAUGCGUAGAUAUUGGAAAGAACACCAGAGGCGAAGGCGGCUUGCUGGGGCACUUCUGACGCUGAGAAACGAAAGCUAGGGGAGCGAAUGGGAUUAGAUACCCCAGUAGUCC